Molecule: microRNA precursor, 275 nt
Filed under: Oryza nivara
Lineage: Eukaryota; Viridiplantae; Streptophyta; Magnoliopsida; Poales; Poaceae
Description: MIR821 microRNA precursor family
Rfam family: MIR821 microRNA precursor family
Source: Rfam by way of RNAcentral
GAUUUCAAUUGAAAAAGUCAUCAACAACAAAGUUGAAUAACUCAUCAAGAUCUAAAACUUUUACUUUUGUUAUUUCUUCAUCCGACGAAAUGUUAGUAAUAUUAUUCAAAAAUUUUACAUAUAUGUGUUAUAGUUUAUAAAACCAGAUAAGAGAUAUGUCAAUUUUGUGAACAAUGUUACUAUCACUUUGUCGUAUGAAGAAAUGACCAAAAUAAAAGUUUUAGAUCUUGAUGAGUUAUUCAACUUUGUUGUUGAUGACUUUUUCAGUUGAUAUC